RNAcentral lists this ribosomal RNA (237 nucleotides) under uncultured Staphylococcus sp. RNAcentral describes it as "partial 16S ribosomal RNA". It matches the Rfam family "Bacterial small subunit ribosomal RNA", at positions 125 to 354 of the family's 1533-position model. The record is from RNAcentral. Lineage: Bacteria; Bacillati; Bacillota; Bacilli; Caryophanales; Staphylococcaceae.
CCUACCUAUAAGACUGGGAUAACUUCGGGAAACCGGAGCUAAUACCGGAUAAUAUAUUGAACCGCAUGGUUCAAUGGUGAAAGACGGUUUUGCUGUCACUUAUAGAUGGAUCCGCGCUGCAUUAGCUAGUUGGUAAGGUAACGGCUUACCAAGGCAACGAUGCGUAGCCGACCUGAGAGGGUGAUCGGCCACACUGGAACUGAGACACGGUCCAGACUCCUACGGGAGGCAGCAGGC